ACAGAGGUCCCAAGCGUUGUUCGGAUUCACUGGGCGUAAAGGGUGCGUAGGUGGCCGGGUAAGUUCGGUGUGAAAGCUCGGAGCUUAACUCCGAAAUGGCAUUGAAUACUAUCCGGCUAGAGGGUCGGAGGGGAGACUGGAAUUCUCGGUGUAGCAGUGAAAUGCGUAGAUAUCGAGAGGAACACCAGUGGCGAAGGCGAGUCUCUGGACGACUCCUGACACUGAGGCACGAAAGCCAGGGGAGCAAACAGGAUUAGAUACCCUGGUAGUCCUGGCUGUAAACGGUGCACGUUUGCUGUAAGAGGAAUCGACCCCUCUUGUGGCGAAGCUAACGCGAUAAACGUGCCGCCUGGGGAGUACGGUCGCAAGAUUA
This 373-nucleotide ribosomal RNA is filed under the name uncultured bacterium. Its description in RNAcentral is "bacterial SSU rRNA". It matches the Rfam family "Bacterial small subunit ribosomal RNA", at positions 525 to 896 of the family's 1533-position model. The record is from RNAcentral.